RNAcentral lists this ribosomal RNA (468 nucleotides) under uncultured bacterium. Its description in RNAcentral is "partial 16S ribosomal RNA". It matches the Rfam family "Bacterial small subunit ribosomal RNA", at positions 28 to 507 of the family's 1533-position model. The record is from RNAcentral.
GACGAACGCUGGCGGCGUGCUUAACACAUGCAAGUCGAACGGAAAGGCCCUGCUUUUGUGGGGUGCUCGAGUGGCGAACGGGUGAGUAACACGUGAGUAACCUGCCCUUGACUUUGGGAUAACUUCAGGAAACUGGGGCUAAUACCGGAUAGGAGCUCCUGCUGCAUGGUGGGGGUUGGAAAGUUUCGGCGGUUGGGGAUGGACUCGCGGCUUAUCAGCUUGUUGGUGGGGUAGUGGCUUACCAAGGCUUUGACGGGUAGCCGGCCUGAGAGGGUGACCGGCCACAUUGGGACUACGAUACGGCCCAGACUCCUACGGGAGGCAGCAGUGGGGAAUAUUGCACAAUGGGCGGAAGCCUGAUGCAGCAACGCCGCGUGCGGGAUGCCGGCCUUCGGGUUGUAAACCGCUUUCGCCUGUGACGAAGCGUGAGUGACGGUAAUGGGUAAAGAAGCACCGGCUAACUACGUG